ACAACCAGAGAGUCAUAGUAAUUGUGUCAGAAACGAUCAAGAAAACCAAGGUCUUGAUAAAGAGAAUAUGGCUGAAAUUUAGGACUAUCAAAACUUGUUUGGUUUGAUGAAACAGAGGUUUCUGAGUUUCAAGAACCAAAAAUAUAUAAAAGAGUUGGAGCAUUUUCAAGCCCAUGCUGAAGCUCAAUUUCCAAAGAUAUAAAAACUGGGGGGACUAAAAGCAAAAAAUUGUAAAAAAAAGAAGAAAAAAGAACUCAGCAUCAGGCCUAGCCCAACAUCUCGCUCAACGCAAAGCACGUGCUAAGCGCGAAGGAAGCAGACGCACUAAGCGCGCAACACGCGCUAAGCAUGCAAACCAGAACAAUGGCGUUGAGCGAGAGCAGCUCGCUAGGCACGAGAUCUAGCACGCGUUGAGCGAGAGGAGCGUGCUAAGUAAGCUUACGAUGGCCCAAGUCCACUAUAGCAGCUAUAAAUAGAAAGCCAGACCAAUGGGAAACGACACACCGAGUCUCAGGGAAUUCUCACUACUACCUAAAGCCUGAAAACUCUUCCUUAGGAAAUUCUCUUCUCUCUUCCACCAUUUUCUCCAUUUCUUUCUUUCACCCCUUUUCUUCUAUCAGUUCUUAUACCUCAUUCAGUGUAAAGCCCUCAAUGAUCAUGAGAGGCUAAAUCCCUAGUUAGGGCCUGACAGGCCUAAAAAGCCAAAACAAUGUAUGAUUUACUCUUCACUAUCCACCAAU
Glycine soja is the source of this 740-nucleotide long non-coding RNA. RefSeq lists it as uncharacterized. The record is from RefSeq and is a predicted model, not a curated record. Lineage: Eukaryota; Viridiplantae; Streptophyta; Magnoliopsida; Fabales; Fabaceae. The transcript is spliced from 3 exons.